RNAcentral lists this ribosomal RNA (237 nucleotides) under uncultured bacterium. Its description in RNAcentral is "partial small subunit ribosomal RNA". It matches the Rfam family "Bacterial small subunit ribosomal RNA", at positions 26 to 291 of the family's 1533-position model. The record is from RNAcentral.
AGAACGAACGCUGGCGGCAUGCCUAACACAUGCAAGUCGAACGAGACCUUCGGGUCUAGUGGCGCACGGGUGCGUAACGCGUGGGAAUCUGCCCUUAGGUACGGAAUAACAGUGAGAAAUUACUGCUAAUACCGUAUGAUGUCUUCGGACCAAAGAUUUAUCUCCUAGGGAUGAGCCCGCGUUGGAUUAGCUAGUUGGCGGGGUAAGGGCCCACCAAGGCUACGAUGGCUAGGGGGA